GAUGAACGCUAGCUACAGGCUUAACACAUGCAAGUCGAGGGACGGGCGCAUGGGUGAGUAACACGUAACCAACCUGCCCUUUGCGCGGGGAUAGCCUUUCGAAAGAAAGAUUAAUACCCGAUAUAAAGGCUGGGGAUGCGUUGCAUUAGGUUGUGGGUGAGGUAACGGCUCACCAAGCUUUCGAUGGAUAGGGGUUCGGAGAGGAAGGUCCCCUGGAGUGGAACCAGGACCCGGACCAAACUCGUACGGGAGGCAGGAGUGAGGAAGAUUGGUCAAGCGUGGCUAGCCCGAACCAGCCACGUAGCGUGAAGGAUGAAGGCGUAUGGGUCGUAAUCCUCUUUUAUAGAAGAAGAUGUAUUAUAUGAAUAAGGAUCGGCUAACUCCGUGCCAGCCGCCGCGGUAAUUC
RNAcentral lists this ribosomal RNA (406 nucleotides) under uncultured bacterium. RNAcentral's name for it is "partial 16S ribosomal RNA". It matches the Rfam family "Bacterial small subunit ribosomal RNA", at positions 28 to 526 of the family's 1533-position model. The record is from RNAcentral.